Mauremys reevesii (Reeves's turtle) is the source of this 1229-nucleotide long non-coding RNA. RefSeq lists it as uncharacterized. The record is from RefSeq and is a predicted model, not a curated record. The transcript is spliced from 3 exons. NCBI's taxonomy places the organism in Eukaryota, Metazoa, Chordata, Testudines, Geoemydidae.
UUCCAACCCUGAUAUUCUAUGAUUCAAGUGAUUGUCAGCAGAAUACUUCCAGUCCCAAAGUGAAAGUAUGAUAAGGUACUGAAGAUAACUAAAGGAUUUGGUGCUAAUGGAUUAGGACCAUUGAAAGGCAUUAACUGAAAGAAGACUUCUCAACUGAUGGCCUUCACUUGAGUACCUGAAGUAUUAAUCUUCUACUAACAAGGAUGUCAUGAUUGAUAAGAAGGACUGUAAGAGAUGAGGGGAGAAGGCUGGGAUAGAAAUCUCCACUCCUGAUUUCAGUACACAGGAAAAUCAGCUAAAUGAAGACACAACAGAGCACCACGAGCUAGAAAACUGGGUGAGAGUCGAAAGAAACAACUGAAAUGCUUGUACAUGAAUGCAAGAAGUCUGGGCGAGAAACUGGAACAACUGGUGCAGGAGGCCUAACCAGAUAUUGUAGGGAUUGCAGAAACAUGGUGGAGUAACACUCAGGACUGGAAUACAUCUUAUUGAAGGAUAUGCUGUUUAGAGGAGAUAGAAAUAAAGUAAAGAUGACAAUAUGUAACAUAUGCAUGAAGGCAGUACGGCUGAUGGAAAUGAGUGUCAUGAAAUGGAAAUUACCACAUCUGAGGUGGAAGAAAAACUUGAGGAGCUUAAUGCACUCAAGUUGCAGUGACCAGAUAAUUUUCAUCCCCGAUUACUGAAAGAAGUGACACAUGAGAUUGCUAGUCUUGUUACUGUAAGAGAUUGUUUGUGUGAAUAAGGAAUGUAUGCAUCAGGAAAAGAGAAGGUGUGAAGGCCAUUGUUAUAGCCAAAUGGUCAAGGAAGAAGGAGUGAAGAGACUUAAAGGACAUCAAAGAAUCAUCAACACGCAUCCAUAAUGAAGGGCAGAUUGAGGACCCUGAGGUGAAGGCUGGCACCCCUAAGGACAAUUGAUUAAAUUGGAACAAAGGACAGGACCCUCUUGGAGGUGUAUUGGAAUGGUUACACCAAUUAAGAAGUAACCGGUCACAAACUGACGCAGCAAAAUCCAUAGACUUCAACAGAGGAAAAAACCCUAUAAGAACAGGGUGCUUGGUCAUGGGACUUUGGGUUCAUCUUGCCACUCCAGGAGCAUCGGAUCACGACUGACAAGAUCCCAGCUCCACACUCGUGCUCAAUCUAACUGGCCAUUAGAUUGACUCGAGCUACAACAGACUGGUAACUAUGAACAUCACUGGCAGGACUGUGUGUGUGACUGAAAAGCAUAU